RNAcentral lists this microRNA precursor (124 nucleotides) under Hordeum vulgare. RNAcentral describes it as "microRNA MIR1122". It matches the Rfam family "MIR1120/MIR1122 microRNA precursor family". Lineage: Eukaryota; Viridiplantae; Streptophyta; Magnoliopsida; Poales; Poaceae. The record is from RNAcentral.
UAAUUACUCCCUUCGUUCAAAAAUACUUGUCGUGGAAAUAGAUGUAUCUAGAUGUAUUUUAGUUAUAGAUACAUUCAUUUGUAGCUAUUUUUUUAUAAGUAAUUUUGGAUGAAGGGAAUAGUAG